This 1308-nucleotide ribosomal RNA is filed under the name uncultured fungus. Its description in RNAcentral is "eukaryotic LSU rRNA". The stretch from base 644 to 1308 matches the Rfam family "Eukaryotic large subunit ribosomal RNA", at positions 1 to 649 of the family's 3401-position model. The record is from RNAcentral. Lineage: Eukaryota; Fungi.
AAGUCGUAACAAGGUUUCCGUAGGUGAACCUGCGGAAGGAUCAUUAUUGAAUUAACUUGUUGGGUUGUAGCUGGCUCCUAGGAGCAUGUGCACACCCUUCAUCGUUUUUCCACCUGUGCACCUUUUGUGGUCCUGGAUACCUCUCGAGGCAACUCGGAUUGAGGGCUUGCAGUGCGAAAGCCGGCUUGCCCUUACAUUUCCAGGACUAUGUUUUCAUACACCCCAAUAGAAUGUUAUAGAAUGUCAUUUAUGGGCUUCACAGCCUUUAAACUUAUACAACUUUCAACAACGGAUCUCUUGGCUCUCGCAUCGAUGAAGAACGCAGCGAAAUGCGAUAAGUAAUGUGAAUUGCAGAAUUCAGUGAAUCAUCGAAUCUUUGAACGCACCUUGCGCCCCUUGGUAUUCCGAGGGGCACGCCUGUUUGAGUGUCAUUAAAUUCUCAACCUUGCCAGCUUUUACGAGUCGGCGUAGGCUUGGAUGUGGGGGNUGNCGGCUUCUUCAGAGGUCGGCUCUCCUUAAAUGCAUUAGCGGAACCUUUGUGGACCGUCUCUGGUGUGAUAAUUAUCUACGCCAUUGCCGUGAAGCAGCUUUACAUGGGGUUCAGCUCAUAACCGUCCAUUAACUUGGACAACUCUUGACAUUUUGACCUCAAAUCAGGCGGGACUACCCGCUGAACUUAAGCAUAUCAAUAAGCGGAGGAAAAGAAACUAACAAGGAUUCCCCUAGUAACUGCGAGUGAACCGGGAAAAGCUCAAAUUUAAAAUCUGGCAGCUUCGCUGUCCGAGUUGUAAUCUAGAGAAGUGUUAUCCGCGCUGGACCGUGUACAAGUCUCCNGGAAUGGAGCGUCAUAGAGGGUGAGAAUCCCGUCUUCGACACGGACUACCAGGGCUUUGUGAUGCGCUCUCAAAGAGUCGAGUUGUUUGGGAGUGCAGCUCAAAAUGGGUGGUAAAUUCCAUCUAAAGCUAAAUAUUGGCGAGAGACCGAUAGCGAACAAGUACCGUGAGGGAAAGAUGAAAAGAACUUUGGAAAGAGAGUUAAACAGUACGUGAAAUUGUUGAAAGGGAAACGCUUGAGGUCAGUCGCGUCGGCCAGGGAUCAACCUUGCUCUUUUGCGGGGCGUACUUCCUGGUUGACGGGCCAGCAUCAGUUUUGACCGUUGGAAAAAGGUUAGGGGAAUGUGGCAUCCUCGGAUGUGUUAUAGCCCUUAGCCACAUACAACGGCUGGGACUGAGGAACUCAGCACGCCGCAAGGCCGGGGCUUUGCCCACGUACGUGCUUAGGAUGCUGGCAUAAUGGCCUUAAUCGACC